Molecule: non-coding RNA, 1509 nt
Organism: Coturnix japonica (Japanese quail)
Lineage: Eukaryota; Metazoa; Chordata; Aves; Galliformes; Phasianidae
Source: RefSeq, a predicted model, not a curated record
GAGUGCUGAAGGGUCUGGCUAAAUAAACUGUCACACAGAUAUGUUUCUAUUUACAUAGAUCAUUCUUCUUGGUGAAGCAGAAUUAAAUCCCUGCGAAGUCUAUUUGAGUAGUCAGUCAAUAAUGGGGAAAAAAAAAAAUAAAAAAUCAGUCAGUCCUGGCUAUUGAAGAUUGUUAUCCUUUUCAGUUCUUGGAUCAAUAUACUGUUGUCUUUUUCAUUCCAGGUAUGUACAGGUUGACAACUGAAGAAAACCUCUCUCUUCGAGAUUGCUUCUCAAAAGAACCAUAUUUUCUUUUUCACCCUCACGUGACACCAAGUUGGCAGUAAGUGUUGAUCUACCUGGGGGUAGUGAGGCCCCACAGAGGGAUCUGUACAACUUGAAUCACUAGGCUUAAGCCAAUGGGAUGAGGUUCAACAAGACCAAGUGCUGGGUCCUGCACUUUGUCCACAACAACCCCAGGCAAUGACACAGGCUUGGGGCACAGAGUCUGGAAGACCAUAGAGGAAAUGAACCUGGAUGUACUGAUUGAUACUCAGCUGAAGAUGAGGGAGCAGUUAAUUACCUUACCAAUUACCAUAAUUACCUUAAAGGAGGUUGCAGUGAGCUGGAAGUCAGCCUCCUCUCCUGUGUAACAGUGAUAGGAAUCGAGGGAAUAGCUUCAAGCUGUGCCAGGAGAGAUUCAGAUCUUGGGAAAGAUGUUGGGAAAUACUACUUUUCUGAAAGAGUGGUCAGGCAGUGGAAUGGGCUGCACAGGGAGGUGGUGGAGUCACCAAACCUGGCGAUGUUAAUGUUGUGCUGAGGGACGUGAUUUAGUGGAUGGUAGGUGGAUGGAUGGUUGGACUGGAUGAUCUUGUAGGUCUUUUCCAACACUGGUGAUUCUAUGAUUCUAUGAUUCCUGUUUUAAUCAUGAGUUCAGCUAUAGCAAGCUGCUGUGGGAUGAGACAACUGAUUGUUAUGAUAAAAAGGUUGGAACUAGACAAAGAAGUGUGUACAUGACUAGGAGGUGAGAAAGCAUUAGUUUGGGAAUGGAGAUAUUGCAUCUCUAAGAGCUGUGCAUCUCUGUAACUUCACUGCAUAUACACCUCCCAAACAUUUAACAUGACUCUUUCUUAAAUCAAAUCUUGAUGUAGUCUGAAAGACAUCUUUAGGAAUGUGUGGCUUUUAAUAGUUCUGCCUUUUAUAUCAGCUUAAUUGUUCUCACUUCUUAUUGCAUUUUCAUCCAGUCUGAGAAAUCAACAACAAAUACUUGUGAGACAUGAGGAGGCAAAGAAUAUGGCAAGGAAAAUAAACAGAAACUUCCCAACACUAGAGAGUGGGCUGAGAGAUGGAGACAUGAUUCUUCUAAAAGACAAAUUCUCUGUCCUGUGGAUAUGCUUCAAACACAUUUUGUUAAGCAUGGAACUGAAACAUCUUUUCACUUAAAGUAUACCACAUUAGCAUUAGUUGCUACAUUAACUUGGUCUGACUAGCUCCUUCAUCGCUACCAAUGAAUAAAGCAGAUGUCUGUUU